RNAcentral lists this ribosomal RNA (460 nucleotides) under uncultured bacterium. RNAcentral describes it as "partial 16S ribosomal RNA". It matches the Rfam family "Bacterial small subunit ribosomal RNA", at positions 338 to 795 of the family's 1533-position model. The record is from RNAcentral.
CCUACGGGUGUCUGCAGUGAGGAAUAUUGGUCAAUGGACGGAAGUCUGAACCAGCCAUGCCGCGUGCAGGAAGAUGGCUCUAUGAGGUGAAAACUGCUUUUGUACAAGGGUAAACCUGAAUACGUGUAUUCAGCUGAAAGUACUGUACGAAUAAGGACCGGCUAACUCCGUGCAAGCAGCCGCGGUAAUACGGAGGAUCCAAGCGUUAUCCGGAUUUAUUGGGUUUAAAGGGUGCGUAGGCGGAGUGAUAAGUUAGAGGUGAAAUGUCCGGGCUUAACUCGGGAACUGCCUCUAAUACUGUUGAGCUAGAGAGUAGAUGCGGUAGGCGGAAUGUAUGGUGUAGCGGUGAAAUGCUUAGAGAUCAUACAGAACACCGAUUGCGAAGGCAGCUUACCAAGCUAUAUCUGACGUUGAGGCACGAAAGCGUGGGGAGCAAACAGGAUUAGAUACCCUUGUAGUC